Molecule: long non-coding RNA, 341 nt
Filed under: Homo sapiens (human)
Lineage: Eukaryota; Metazoa; Chordata; Mammalia; Primates; Hominidae
Description: HSALNT0254457
Source: RNAcentral
CGGUGUCAGCCGGGGCCAUCCUCCCAGAGUGACCUAGAGGACUGGGUGAGGAGGGUCUCUAGAGCACUGAGGGUGCAGGACACAGAGCCAACCGUCUGAUUGUUCCUUCCCCCUCCUUGACCUCGGCUCACAGAGACCUUGAACCCUCAGGGUCAAGCAGGCCUGCCCCUUUGUUCUGUGUGCCCCAGGGUGCAGUGGAGCCUGUUCCAGGUCACGCCCGGCCUGGCCGUCAUCAGUCUCGUGGCUCUGAAGCAGCCACGUCACUCCCCCAGUCCCGGCACCUCCCCUGCGCCUGCACCUGGGUGAGAGCCCGUCCAGGCCUCUCUGCCCCCUUCCUUUGC